Molecule: non-coding RNA, 78 nt
Organism: Schistosoma curassoni
Lineage: Eukaryota; Metazoa; Platyhelminthes; Trematoda; Strigeidida; Schistosomatidae
Source: Rfam
AGCCUUAUGUAUCCGUACGGUGAUUUUGCCACACACCAGACCACAAGGGCUGAUGAGACUUCCAAGAUAAGUAAAGCG